RNAcentral lists this non-coding RNA (134 nucleotides) under Protomyces lactucae-debilis. RNAcentral describes it as "Protomyces lactucaedebilis TPP sequence". It matches the Rfam family "TPP riboswitch aptamer (THI element)". From Rfam's summary of the family: Vitamin B(1) in its active form thiamin pyrophosphate (TPP) is an essential coenzyme that is synthesised by coupling of pyrimidine and thiazole moieties in bacteria. The previously detected thiamin-regulatory element, thi box was extended, resulting in a new, highly conserved RNA secondary structure, the THI element, which is widely distributed in eubacteria and also occurs in some archaea. Analysis of operon structures identified a large number of new candidate thiamin-regulated genes, mostly transporters, in various prokaryotic organisms. The record is from RNAcentral. Lineage: Eukaryota; Fungi; Ascomycota; Taphrinomycetes; Taphrinales; Protomycetaceae.
CGGCUUGUUUCGGGGUGCCCUUCUUCUGCUCAACUCCUGAUCGCCUCAGCAGUCUUGAGCAGAGUCCGGCUGAGAUUAUACCCGUAAAACUUGAUCAGGUUAAUACCUGCGGAAGGAGAACAAGCCCUGGAUCU